Esox lucius (northern pike) is the source of this 9929-nucleotide long non-coding RNA. The record is from Ensembl. Lineage: Eukaryota; Metazoa; Chordata; Actinopteri; Esociformes; Esocidae.
AAUUUAUAUGAAAAAAUAAAGAAAAAAAGCUGGAGAAAGGUACAGACAUUCCUGAAUUAAAAUAUUACAAAAAAAAAUUACAAAAGUGAUAGAAUAAGUUUUUUUACCCACUCCCUCAUAAAAAACAUUCACCCAUUACCAUCAUCCCUAUUAAAACAGCCCAUCGUGGUACUGUUCAUUUCACAAAUAACACUCAUUUUGUGAGACAAUUAAGGCAAUAGCCAAACAACACGCAAGCACUCCGAUUUAAAAUAUUGAUAAUAUUUAUUAUUUUGUUUGUUUAAAUUCACAGACAUUUAUUUAGUGUAUAUUAUUUUCAUAGAAAUAGUAUAACUUCAUGCUAGCCCUCAUGAAAUUUUCAUCAUAUGAACAUCAAAAUGCUUCACUACAGAUUUGAUGGGACCAUUACUCUGAAGCCUUUGCCAAAACCAAUCAUUUUAGUGAUUGGUCUGAAAUAGCAUCUGAUAGCUUUUCUCAUAGGCUCAACCUGGAACAAUAAGCCAUAAUGCAUUCCUCAGCUCUCCACCCUAUGUACUUGAGAAGAUCUGAGAUGGUUUUGAUUGGUUUUCGGUCAUAUGGUGAAUCUCAAAGCCCAGUGGUUUGAGUACCUGACCAGUGACCAACAGUCCCUGUUAAAGCAGGUUGAAAAAACAUGUUGUUCACAUCAAUGUACAGAUUAUUGGGCUGGUAAAAGAAAUAUCGGCCAUGUGGAGCUAUUGCCAGUUUGUUUACACCCGUCAAACCCUCUUAGAUUUCCACACAUGCAUUGAGUGUAGAGUUCACAAGUCUGUUUGGGACUGAGCCAACAAUAUCCAGUAAGUCAGCCAUUUCAGUUCCUAGUUGGACGCGAUCCAACACUUUCUAAUUAAUGCAUCCUUACCACCGGCAUGUUGUGAUAGGAAAAUUAACUACAUUGCCAGAUGGAAUGUGACAGGAUAAUUAGCUUACAAUGUAUAGAUCUUGAUAUUUUCCCCACUGUGGAAUAUAUUUGAAUCCCCUGUAGGGUAAUAAUUUUUCCUUUGUCAUGUGGACUUUGGCAUUUAUUGUGGUAUUGUGUUGAAGGGAACUGCAGUCACCUUGAACAUCCAGUCACUUUGAAAAUGAAGACUAAUAAAGAUUUUAUUAUGAGGAGCUUGUGUUUCUGCAGUCUUCACAAAAUAAAAUGAAGUGUUUAGUCAUUUGGCAGAACUUCUUUUCCAGAGCGACUUAAACGAGCAAUUAUGUUUAAGGGCUUGCUUAUGGAGAACAACAGAUUUUUCACCUUGCCAUCUUGGGGAUUUUAUCUAACUUUUGUUUACUGGUUAGGUGCUCUAACCAUUAAGCCAUCCAAACACCCCCCCACAUUUUGUAUGCAUUAGACAAUGUGAUGUAGUGCAAGAAUUACCAUUUAAACUUUUAUGUCUGUUCAAAUAAGGGUGAAAAACAAAUGUGCCUGAGCAUUGUGGCUAACCUUGCCUGGUCGGCCUUUGAGAAAUGCUAGUAGCUAGCCAUUUCAGACCAAUUGUUUAAACCAAAGGAUUUAGUAAGAGUGCAGGAGUACAGUCUGAUGGUUUUACAUAAAAUAUUAAUUAUUUUAUGGGAAUCCAUGCUUCUUAGACACCCAAAUGUCAGAUUAUUCCCAACAGAGUGUACUCCUUCUGAAGAGUCAUAUGUUAGGUGACAAUCUAGGGUGCCAUUUGGGAGAAGGUUAUAUAUAUAUGUAUAUAUAUAUAUUUAUAUGUAUAUUUUAUUGUAGUACAAAUAUAUAAGUAAAUAUAGUCAUAUUUUGAGUCUUUAUAGGACAUUAGUUAUUUUAGAGUUCUAAAAUAUCUUCAGACCCAUGACCAUUUACAGUACAGUACAGUAGGUCAAUGAACAAUAUAUGUAGAGAGCGGAAAAUGUGGAAAGUAUGCCUUUUUACUAUCUGUCCAACACCUAAACUAAAAUGACAACAUUUCCCAAAGAAAGAGACUUCAACAAAAGAAAUACAUAUUUCAACAGAAAACACAUAUUUUCAACGUGUUUUGGUCACAGGGCAGUCUGCAGGUGGAUGGGUUAAGGCUGGCAUUACUGAAGUGAGAACAGCUACAAAACAAUAUGCAAAUCCAUAAGAGAGAAAGGGCACUAAACAAGUGUAUUUCACACGGAUGUUAUGUAUCGUCAGACAGAUCUGUAAUUUUGAAAUGCACAUCUGUUUCUCCCCACUUUUGCUUUCUCUUCUGAUAGUCUAAGCAUUUCCUCACCCUUGUCUCUGCCCCUUUAUUUCUCUCUUUUCCAGUAUUCUAAAUUCUGUUUCUUAUGGUCUUCCUGUCUUCACUCCAUCGGUCUCUUUCUUUCAGGAUCAUUGAUAGAACCUCUAUUUCUCACAGUGGACAGAGACGGAGUGAGGGAGACAGAAAGAAAGAUUGAGACAAACAGAGAGGGAGGAAGAUGGAGGAAUGGAAACUCUGUGGACUGCCGGGGGGGGGGUCAAGACACGGAGGGAGAGAGAAUGGAGGGAGGGAGAGAAUGGGGGGAGGGAGAGCGAGGGAGAGAAUGGGGGGAGGGAGAGCGAGGGAGAGAAUGGAGGGAGGGAGAGCGAGGGAGAGAAUGGAGGGAGGGAGAGCGAGGGAGAGAAUGGAGGGAUGGAGAGAAUGGAGGGAGGGAGAGAGAAUGGAGAGAAUGGAGGGAGGGACGGAGAAUGGAGGGAGAGCGAGGGAGAGAGAGAAUGGAGGGAGGGAGAGCGAGGGAGAGAGAGAAUGGAGGGAGGGAGAGAGAAUGGAGGGAGGGACGGAGAAUGGAGGGAGAGGGAGAGAGAGAAUGGAGGGAGGGACGGAGAAUGGAGGGAGGGAGAGAAUGGAGGGAGGGAGAGAGAGAAUGGAGGGAGGGAGAGCGAGGGAGAGAGAGAAUGGAGGGAGGGAGAGCGAGGGAGAGAGAGAAUGGAGGGAGGGAGAGCGAGGGAGAGAAUGGAGGGAGGGAGAGAAUGGAGGGAGAGAAUGGAGGGAGGGAGAGCGAGGGAGAGAGAAUGGAGGGAGGGAGAGUGAGAAUGGAGGGAGGGAGAGCGAGGGAGAGAAUGGAGGGAGGGAGAGAGAAUGGAGGGAGAGCGAGGGAGAGACAGAAUGGAGGGAGGGAGAGCGAGGGAGAGAGAGAAUGGAGGGAGGGAGAGCGAGGGAGAGAGAGAAUGGAGGGAGGGAGAGAAUGGAGGGAGAGCGAGAAUGGAGGGAGAGAAUGGAGGGAGGGAGAGCGAGGGAGAGAGAAUGGAGGAAGAGAAUUGAUAUACAGAAGAAGAGAUCAUGGAGAGAGGGAGAAUGGGGGGAGAGAGGUGAGAGAGAACAGAGGGAGAGACCGCAUUGUCUGGUUCAUCAGACCUUGUUCCUCAUUCCUCUCCAUAGGUCCUUUUGCGUUGUCUCCGGUGUGUUCACGCGUCUUCAGCACCGAGUGUCUGGGUCCAGCCUUCUAUGGCUCAGGACACAGCACACCGUCUGAAUCCCAAAUGGUGCCCUAUUUCCUGAAUAGUGCAGACGCUUGGACCCAUAGUGCCCUGGUCAAAAGUAGUAUGUAGUGGAUGUUUGGGGAACACGGUUCCAAUUGGGACACCCCAAUUGCUGAGACCAAGGUAGGGGAGUGUCUCCCUGUACAGGAUGGUCGAGGGUGGUCUUAACUUUGGCCUCCGGGGCCAAUGUGCAUCCUGGGUUGGAAUUGUUACAAUGAUCUCCCAGUGCAAAACAAACUCACCUCUAACUGUCCUGUCAACUUAAACAAGCAGGCCGGAAAUAAAGUAUUUUUUUUUAAACAUGUUUUCACUUAGUCAUGCCACUGGGACUUAGUGAAAAUGGGAUUUCAUACUGACUCCCCGCCUCACACACUCCAGCUUUAUUAAAGUCUUACUUUGUGGUGUAGACUGUAAAGGUUCUGGCUCUGUCAUUCAGUGAAGGGUUUACUGUCAAAUGGGAUUUACAGGGAAGGUAUGAAGGAAUCCCAGAGUCUAGAAUUAUAACUGGGACUCUGGUAAAGAUGAUCAGAAAAGUCUAUGAAAAAUGUAAUUGUUGUUUCUUACAUUCAUCUAACUAUCAAAAUAUGUGAGAUAUGUAGUUUUUAUUGAAGUAAAAUUAUUCCAAGAAAAAAAUCCUAGAGGUGCCAAUAAUACGUUUUGACACAAUUAUUUUCUUUAAACAAUUUUACCCCAAAUAAAGGUUAGAUUAUUUAUAUAUUUGGAGUGUUUUACCCAAUAAACAGCAGUGAACUUUUAUAGGGGGCCAAUAGUUCUGGAGGGAACUGUACAUGUUGGGGACUAGAGAAGUGGUCAGUAGACGUAGAGGGUCAGGUGAGAAGGGAGAAUUGGUCAGUGGACAUAGAGGGUCAGGUGAGAAGGGAGAAUUGGUUAGUAGACAUAGGGGGUCAGGUGAGAAGGGAGAAUUGGUCAGUAGAUGGAGAGGGUCAGGUGAGAAGGGAGAAUUGGUUAGUAGACAUAGAGGGUCAGGUGAGAAGGGAGAAUUGGUCAGUAGAUGGACAGGGUCAGGUGAGGAGGGAGAAUUGGCCAGUAGACAGAUAGGGUCAGGUGAGAAGGAAGAAGUGGUCAGUAGAUGUAUAGGGUCAGGUGAGAAGGGAGAAUGGGUCAGGUGAGAAAGGAGGAUUGGUCAGUAGAUGGAGAGGGUCAGGUGAGAAGGGAGAAUUGGUCAGUAGACGGAGAGGGUCAGGUGAGGAGGGAGGUUAGAAGAUAAGUUGUUAGAAGAUAAUGUUGUUAGGCACUGCUGAUAAUCUUUUAGAAGGUAGGUCCCUCGGGUCUUAUAGCUGCUGGCCCCCUCUUUCUUUCAGUGUUGUCCCUCUUAAGAUGAUGCUUUAGCAGUUAUGGGCACAAGAUAGCUCCCGGAAAUCUUUGAAUAGUAGCUAGUUAUCCUCAAUCAACACCUUUGUCCGCUACCUCUUCCUCAGCACUGACGUGUUCCUCCUCUUCCUUAGCUCAUGCUUUAGUUAUGUGUUCUCAAAAGAUCAGGACUGGUUGUGAUGUGAUACAAAAAGCAGGUACUGUGACCAGAUGCAUUCUUCAAACAAAAACAUUAGCCAGUUAGCAAGCAAUAACUAGUCAAGGUAAAUAAUUUCGGCCUGUCAUCAAUCUGCAAAUCUCUGGCACAGAAAUACCAAGUAUGCAUUCAAACUUUAUGUUAUCAGAAACAAAACAGUUGAUAAAAAAAAAAAAUAAUAGUUAAAAAAUGAAACAACCAAAUAUAUACAAAUGUACAGGGGCUCUGUGAUUAGGCUACUCCUGAGGUACCAACAUUAAUAACAUCAGUUGACUAACAAAGUACAAAAAUAUUCAUUUUGAGCAAAAGAUCCUUUUAAGCAGCCAAUCCCACAGAUACCGUUAACUGAUUAAAAAAAUGUAGGAAGGAGGUAUUUUAUAUUUGCAUGGGCCCCAGAAGAGUCCUAAUUCAAAUCACUGGCUCGACUGUGUGUGUGUGUGUGUGUUGCUGGCCAUCUCAGGCUAGACGUUUUUUGCUCCUGUAUAAUAGCUGAGGGUAAUGUAGCAGUACAUUGCUUGGAAAUAUUGUGACUGUCUUGCUGCAGAGGCUCAUUGCCACUGUUGAAAAUCAUUUCCCUCCCACUCUCUUCCUUUGUCUUUCCUUCCCUCUUUCUUUUCUCUCAAUGCUGUCUCUAUUUCUCACUUUUCAUGUCAUUCUCCCUCCCCAUAAGUGUGUCUUCCUUCCCCCCCAUGUGUUUUUGGUAGUCAUUGGUUCCUCAGACACAAUAGACUGGAUGAUGAAGCAGGAGGAAAAUAGAACAGGAGAACAAUAGAACAGGAGAGCGAUAGAACAGGAGAGUGAUCGAGUGAUAGAACAGGAGUGAUACAGGGACAGAACAGGAGAGUGAUUCUGACAGAGCAAGAGAGUGAGAACAGGAGAGUGAUGGAGUGACACAGCCAGAGAAAUGGAACAGGAGACCUGUAGUAACAUGUAGCAGGACAGUGAUAAAACAGCAACAAGAGUGGUAGGGGGAUAAAGCAUGCGAGUGAUAUAGCAGGGGCGUGAUAAUGCAGGAGAGUGAUAACGAUAACGAGUGGUUAUGCAGGAGAGAUAGUCUCUUUCACCUCAUUCCUCCUGCUUCUGUGUUUGACAAAGUGGCACCAGACAAAUCUCUUCAACCUCCGCUGCACUUCUUCCCAACCUCUCUGCAUCCUUUUCUUCGUCCCUUUCUUCCUCCUUUACCCCUCCCUCUGCCAAUCCCUUUAUCCCCUUUAUCUUUCCAUCCAUCACUCUCCUCUGUGCCAGCGAGGAGGAGUAAUUAUCCGUCAUUAAAGUGGAGAAAUACGGUCUCUGCCAGGGAGGGAGAAAUGGAGAGCAGGAUGAUAAAUGAGGGGGGAGAGAGAUGGUUGUCAGGGGUUGCUGGACGAGAUGGAGAGGUUGAGUCAGGAGAAAAGAGAAGGAAAAAGAGAUGAUUUUCAGGGCGAUGGAGUAUGAAAUGGGAGGAGAGAUUGAGGGUUGAUUAGGCAGAGGGACAGAGGAGUAGUGGGGUGAGGUGCAGCCAGAGGAGGAGAAAGGCUGUUGGUUUGGGGGUUUUAUUAUUAGCUGAAUGGAUGAUGGCAAUGGGACGUAAAUGCCAUCUCUUGAUCUCUCUGACAUACUGAGGCUUCAACACCUUUCUGAUGCACUGGGACAUAAAAACCUAUGACACACUGAGACAUAAAAACCUAUGACACACUGAGACAUAAAAACCUAUGACACACUGGGAUAUUAAAAUCUAUGACACACUGAGACAUAAAAAAAUUUGACCCCCUGGGACAUAAAAACCUAUGACACACUGGGACAUAAAAACCAAUGACACACUGGGAUAUUAAAACCUAUGACACACUAAGACAUAAAAACCUAUGACACACUGGGAUAUUAAAAUCUAUGACACACUGAGACAUAAAAAAAAUUUGACCCCCUGGGACAUAAAAACCUAUGACACACUGGGACAUAAAAACCAAUGACACACUGGGAUAUUAAAACCUAUGACACACUAAGACAUAAAAACCUAUGACACACUGGGAUAAUAAAAUCUAUGACACACUGAGACAUAAAAAAAUUUGACCCCCUGGGACAUAAAAACCUAUGACACACUGGGACAUAAAAACCUAUGACACACUGGGACAUAAAAACCUUUAACACACUGAGACAUAAAAACCUAUGACUCACUGGGAUAUAAAAAUUAAUUACACACUGGGAUAUUAAAACCUAUGACACACUGGGACAAUAAAACAUCUGACACACUGGGACAAUAAAACCUAUGACACACUGGGACAAUAAAACCUAUGACACACUGGGACAUUAAAAUAUCUGACACACUGGGGCAUUAAAACGUAUGACACCCUGGGACAAUAAAACCUAUGACACACUGGGACAAUAAAACCUAUGACACACUGGGACAAUAAAACAUCUGACACACUGGGACAAUAAAACCUAUGACACACUGGGACAAUAAAACCUAUGAUGACACACCGGGACAUUAAAAUAUCUGACACACUGGGGCAUUAAAACGUAUGACACACUGGGACAAUAAAACCUAUGACACACUGGGACAAUAAAACCUAUGACAAACUGGGACAUUAACACAUCUGACACACUGGAGAUUUAAAACCUCUAACAUAUUGAGGAUUUAAAACCUCUGACACACUGGAGAUUCAAAACCUCUGACACACAUUAUCUUUGACAGCAGAAUUGUAAGACCUUUCUGACACACUGGGGCUUAAAAGCCUCUCUGAACUUUGACUGUUCACUGCUGAGCUUUUCUGUGUGUGUGUGUGUGUGUCUGUCCACUAUACUCUCCCCUUUCUGCUUCACUGAUUCAGGGAGGCAACACCCAUAAUCCUUAAUGUCACUGACCUGUCGUGAGUGGCAUCACAGUGUUCCCUGCGCCCAUCACCUUCCUUUCUGCCAUCUUCCUUUCUGCCACCUCACGUUAUUAGCUAGCAAAGUCAGUCAAAAUAGCUUGCAAUGCCAAUGUUAGCUCGCUCAGUGGACCCUGAAUAUUGAGUAGCUGGUUAACGUUAUAUUGCAAAUAAAAUCUAUUAAGUAACAUCUAAAUUUAUGACAAAUGGUUUAGCUACUAAUUAUAUACCUUUUUCAGAUGAUGAUCGUGUUUUCAAGCCUUAGUAAUGCACUUUACACCAAAUCUACAUCAGGUACCAUUGAGUAUGCACUGAGCAGAAUGCUUGGCUGGCCGUCAGCCCAAAAACAAAAGUUUUUGUGACAAAACAUGCAGACCAUGAAUAUACUGUGUGUGAUUUACCAAGGAAAAACAUUUCAAUAAAAAAACAAAAAAUAGCUGAAUACUUUCUGGUUCAUGGUGCAUUUGGUUAUUUUAAUGAGGCCUCUGUGUCUGUAAUUUAAUACAGUAAUUUGACCUCAAAUCAAAAGAAGAGGGGAUGAAGAAAGCGAGAAAGGAUGGGAAGUAAUAUCCCUUAUGAAAAAGAGGUUGGUUUUUUAGGAGGGGUUCUGAAACAAUGUGCUGGAUAACGAUCAUAGCAGUAAUGUUGCCCGCGAUGAUAAUCAUAAUUACAAGACAACAGUUUGUUAGUUUGGUUUCUGUAUACUGUACACUCAUGUGCUUUGUAGAGACAGUGAUCUCUUUGGAGAGAAUGGGGUCGAAUAGAAAGGAGCCAGACAGAAGGAGACUCUGGAAUCCGGCGAGUUUUGAGGGACAGAGAGAGGAAAAGAAAGACAGUGAGAGAUUGACACAGAGGAAAAACAGGGGAAUAGAGAUGAACAGACAGAGAGAAAGAGAGAGAGGUAGGCUUCGUCUACAAAUACAACUUACCCCUUCACAUAAACACGUGCUGAAACCUGUCCUAUGAAAGGCUGCACGGAACCUUCACCAUGCUUCUCACACCUGUCCUAUGAAAGGCUGCACGGAACCUUCACCAUGCUUCUCACACCUGUCCUAUGAAAGGCUGCACGGAACCUUCACCAUGCUUCUCACACCUGUCCUAUGAAAGGCUGCACGGAACCUUCACCAUGCUUCUCACACCUGUCCUAUGAAAGGCUGCACGGAACCUUCACCAUGCUUCUCACACCUGUCCUACCCUUUCUCAGGCCGUACGUAUGUAAGCUUUUCAGCCUGCUGGUCCAGGAUCAGUUAAGUCUUUCACAUCACUAUGGAAAAGAUUAUACGGUAUGCUGAUCCUAGACCAGCAAUCUUUCCGAGGGAAGCUUAAUACCUUUCACUCCCAGGUGUUCACAAGGAUGUAGAAGGUUGGGCCAAGGGGUUGUUUCUGGACACGCUGCUGUGGCGUCUCCAGGUGCUCCGGGUUAAGGUCUACCCUAGGUACUGAUCUUGGAUCAGCUUCCCAGCCCCCAAACCAAACCUUGACCAUUAGUGGGAGAGAUUCCAAACUGACCCAAAACCAGCGUCUAGGGACUUCUUCACCCUACACUUAUUCAGGUUUCCAAGUCUGGACGUUGGAUGGCUGUGCUCCCGGAAUGCCAGGACUGGCCGUGGCUGUGCCGAUCGGAGGACAGACAGCGUCAGGCGUCUUUGCUCGGAGCUGGAGAGCUCAUCAUCAUCAUCAUCAUAGCGGUGAUCGUCAUGUUUUGUGGAGACAAGGACACAGCGACACGGCCUCUCGCCCGGUACCAAACCAACCAGCCUCAAGGAUGCCAGGACACUCAGUUCAGAUCGGAAAUUAUAUACUGUUACUCAUAUAGUUGCUGAUCCGGGCUCCAAAUGCCGACUGGCUGCCAUUUUGGCCCCCAUCGUCCACAAAGUUUUCAGAAAAAGCGGGGUCCCUGAUUACAAAAAGAGUUCCCCUUUUUAGUGUGACAACGAGCGGAUCCCGUUGAAUGGACCAUCAGCCUUCGUCUGACUCUGGCUUGAUUGAUUAACGAGUCCUCAGUCUCAUUCUGAUCCGGUUAUAAUAUGUCUCGGUAUCAGCUGAAUGGAGUGGUUCUGAAUGGUUGGCAUGUGUUUUAACGCGAUGAAGUCUGAGAAUGGCUUCG